Populus nigra (black poplar) is the source of this 3539-nucleotide long non-coding RNA. RefSeq lists it as uncharacterized. The record is from RefSeq and is a predicted model, not a curated record. The transcript is spliced from 11 exons. Lineage: Eukaryota; Viridiplantae; Streptophyta; Magnoliopsida; Malpighiales; Salicaceae.
UUACUCUUGUGGAUAUAAACUCUUCUACUUUCGUCGUAGAUUCAAGGAAGCUUUUGUGGAUUUCUAGGUUUUCUUUCCUUCACUUGUUGUUGGGUGAUUUUUCGUUUUAGUCCAAGGAACCGGAACCAUCUUGUUAUGAGAAAUAAUUGAUUUUUAUUUUCCACAUUAACUGGACACUUCGAUGAUAAGUUUUUUACCUUUUCCAGAUGUUGUACUAGCUACAAAUGUUCGGGAUUUAUUCAAGGUCUAUAGCAGUAACUAGUAGAUGCCCACCAUUAUACUAAAAACAAGACCCCUUUGAAAAUUUCUAGUUUUAUGAUGAGCUGUCUUCAAGGUUUAUGUGUAAAUGUAUGGAUUAAUUGAAAUUAGAUAAGUAUGUUUUGCUACUUGGUAUGAGUAUGCAAUUGAACUUCUUAACUCUAUUGUUGCAAGUCCUCGUGCCUCUCUUGCCAUUUCCUUUAUAUUCUGAUUUUUUGAUUUUAAAUAAGUCAUCUACUUCAGGAAGAAAAUUAUAGGCUGAAUGCAGACUUCAAAGAGCGAAAUGCCUACGUUGAGAGCUGCAGAGCUGAAAUCGUUAUUUUCUAGUCUCAUGAAGGAUUCAAUAGUCAUAAAGCAUAGAGAAACAAGCUACAAGAAGCAUGUAUCCUUUUCUCUUUCUAUUUUGGUCAGGCUUAUUGAAAGGGCAUAGUUUGACUAGACUUUUCUGCUUUUGUAGAUCAUGGUGAAAAAGGAAAGUGAACUUAUUGUUGAAUUUGAUAAGCUAAGACCACAAGUGUUCUUAUUCCUCUGUCGUUGGGUCCUAUUUAUAGGAAAAAUCUCUUGUAGAUGUCACUAAUCAAAUAGUGAGCUUAAAGCCACUGUGACCACGAAACAAGGUGAGGUGGGCACAGAGCUCAUUGAUCACUUAACACCACAGGAAAAACAUGAACUAUCCCAGCUAAACUAAGAAAUAAAAGAUCUUAAAGAGGAGCUUAUUAAAUUUAGAACAGAUCGCAUCGAGGUAAGAUAUCUCAACCUUGUGAGAAGCAACUGUACUUAUCCUUAACAGGUAUUUGUUCUGUUUCACAUGAAGCUUUUGUGGCCUUCCAAGCUACUUCCAUAUUUAUGAUCUGCUUUCUGAUAGGCCUCUUGCUUGCUGUCAUGCAUGCCUAUAUGCUAAUGGGUGUAUGGUAAUACAUUGCCCCAAAAGUUUCUGUAUAUUUGUUGCUAAUUGAGGUGGGUGACUUUUUGGAAGAAAAUAGUUUAUUAUCGUUUAUUAUUGCCACCUGUUGCACUAGAGGUGAUAGAUUGAUGUUGCACUGAUGUGUCUUGGCCUCAAACCCUAGAAAAAUAAUAUUACUUGUCACUGAAAAACGAGUAAAUAAAAAGAAACGAAUUAUUCCUCAUGCUUUUACAAUGUCUAUCUGCUAUUUGUGAUUUAUUAAGAUACAUUUUGAGUAUUAACAUUAGUUUUUGUUACUAUGAAGGCAAAGGUGAUGGUACAAAUGCAGAAUCUGGAGCACAUGAAGAAGAUUUUCUCAUCCAGGAUGAGAUUUCUAAAUCUUGUCUAGUGAACGUGUAGCGUGUAAGUCAUUCUUUAUGGAGAUGCUGCAUUUUGCAAGUAUUGCAAAAGUUGCAAGUGCUCCAUUAUACAUGCAUCCCUUGUUAUUGAAUUGUUGAUUAUCUGUAGGAGGAAGAGACAAUUUUGCAUGAGAGAGACGGCUAUAAACUGGAAGAGGGACGUCUUAUACGUGAAUUGAAAAGGAUACGAGAUGAGGAUGAUUCAAGUUUUAAUAAUUUUCAGAUUUUAAAUCAUCAAUAUGCCCUUUUAAACCUUCUUGGGCAAGGAGGAUUUAGUAAGGUUUACAAGGUCCGAACUUCGGCAAGUAGUUUCAAUUGAUAAUAGAAAGUAGUUUCAUUUGAUAAUAGAAACACUAACCUUUGCUUGUUUGAUGAAAAUUCUUAUAUACCAUGACAAGAGUAUAGAUCAUUCUGUUGCCAAUAUUGACAAUUGUAAAAGCACAUCCUUUUGCAGUGAUUUGAAGUGAGAAAUUUCCGGCAGGCUUAUGAUUUGGUCGAGCAUAGGAAGGUGCAGGGCAUCAUGUUUUAUCUGCUUUUGUUGAGAUUGUGUUGAUAAUUCCGACAAUCACAUCCCGGUAUAAGUGGAGUUUGAAAGAGUUGCAUAAAAUGCUUCAUUGGUGCAAUGAGCAUUUCAACAGUUCAGCCAUGUAAACAAGAAGGCACUAGAGAUCAACAUGUAAAUCUCACUAUGAAACAGGAGGAACUUUAGACAAGGCAAGCUGAACUUGAGGCAAGUGACAAGGAUGAUGCUAUGAUUUAACGUGUGCUAUGCUUGUUUCCUCACUCUUGUGGAUAUCAACAUUCUACUUUCGUUGUAGAUUCAAGGAAGCUGCUUGUGGAUUUCUAGGUUCUUUGUCUGCUUGGCUUCUUGGAUUAGUUCAGGUAUUCCUCACUUGGCUUCUUGCAUCAUUCUUAUAACAACCCGUGACAUCAUGCAGUACAACGGAGCGUGAAAAGCAGCUGAGCAUCCUUUAUCAAAAAACAAGGUCGGACAACCCCUUUUCUAGCAAAGCUACUCGUGACAAAAGGCUGAAAAAGGAAAAUGAUGAUUUACAACGUCUUUUUUCUUCAAAUUUGGCACAGGCAAGAGUUCAGAUUAGUCUAUUCUGAUACUUUAACAUCAAUGCGGAUGUAUGAUGGUGUUGUCAGAAUCUUCCUAUAGGCGAUAUCUAUGCUGAAAUCCUAAAAGAUGAUGUUUUGGUCUUGCCUCUACAUGUACUUGGUGCAAUGAGCAACUUCAGUAGUUCAGCCAUGUAAACAAGAAGACACUACAUCAAAAUGUAAAUAUCACUGAGAAACAGGAGGAACUCUAGAAAAGGCUUGAGGCAAGUGACAAAGGACUAUGAUGUUGAUCACGAAGAUGAUAAUUGUGACGAUGAUGGACGUCAUGAAGCAAAUCUGGAGGGAAAUAUGUUACUCUGAAAAUGAAGGUUGCCGAACUAUGCUAGUUGCUUAUGACUGUAGUUGGUUGAUGGUUGUGAGAGAAAAACAAAAGGAAUUGAAGGAUCUGAAUUUAGUUUAAGAGCAUUUCUAGGUUUUUUUUUGUUGCUCAAUUUUGUGGUUUGGUUUAAUCUGUUGUUUUUUUUUCUAGUGGUGUCCUGCUUUCAGGAAUAUCAUAUGUCGGGUAUCCCAUUGGUAAUAUUUUUUUUGUUUGCGUACCAUGUUCCAAGUUUGAGGGUUCACUUGGAUUAGGCUAAUGGCAGUUGGGUUUCUUGAAUAUCUUAUGUAUUCUUUUCUCGACAAGGAAACAUUAUCAUUAAUAUCUUAUGUUUUGUAGGUCAAGUUGUUGAAUUGCUGCAUUCAUUAGGGAAAAGUGGGAGGGGCUUGGUUAUUAUGUGCUUGAAAAGUGUAUUGUGUAGAACUGCUAAGAGAGUGUUUGGUGUGUAAGGAUUUUCUUAUCCAAAACAUGGAUAGCGCAACCCCAUACACCGAGCCCUUUUCAGUUCGAAAAUUAAUUAUGUUGGUAAGUUUGUUUUUCA